UACGGAGGAUGCGAGCGUUAUCCGGAUUUAUUGGGUUUAAAGGGUGCGUAGGCGGUUUGAUAAGUUAGAGGUGAAAUGUCGGGGCUCAACCCCGAAACUGCCUCUAAUACUGUUGGACUAGAGAAUAGUUGCGGUAGGCGGAAUGUAUGGUGUAGCGGUGAAAUGCUUAGAGAUCAUACAGAACACCGAUUGCGAAGGCAGCUUACCAAACUAUAUCUGACGUUGAGGCACGAAAGCGUGGGUAGCAAACAGG
This 253-nucleotide ribosomal RNA is filed under the name uncultured bacterium. RNAcentral describes it as "partial 16S ribosomal RNA". It matches the Rfam family "Bacterial small subunit ribosomal RNA", at positions 524 to 776 of the family's 1533-position model. The record is from RNAcentral.